This 807-nucleotide ribosomal RNA is filed under the name uncultured bacterium. Its description in RNAcentral is "bacterial SSU rRNA". It matches the Rfam family "Bacterial small subunit ribosomal RNA", at positions 28 to 853 of the family's 1533-position model. The record is from RNAcentral.
GAUGAACGCGGCGGCGUGCUUAAUACAUGCAAGUCGAACGGAGACAUUAGCAAUAAUGUUUAGUGGCGAACGGGUGAGUAACGCGUUGGUGACCUGCCCCGAAGAGAGGGAUAACAGUUCGAAAGGAUUGCUAAUACCCCAUGUGGUUGUUUGGAUUAGAUGCCUUACAACUAAACGGAUUUAUUCGCUUCGGGAGGGACCUGCGUCCCAUCAGCUAGUUGGUAGGGUAACGGCCUACCAAGGCUAUGACGGGUAGGGGACCUGAGAGGGUGGCCCCCCACAAUGGAACUGAAACACGGUCCAUACACCUACGGGUGGCAGCAGUAGGGAAUAUUGGUUAAUCUGCGAAAGCGGGAACCAGCAACGCCGCGUGCACGAUGAAGGCCUUCGGGUUGUAAAGUGCUUUUUGAGAGGAUGAGGAAGGACAGUACUCUUAGAAUAAGCUUCGGCUAACUACGUGCCAGCAGCCGCGGUAAAACGUAGGAAGCGAGCGUUAUCCGGAUUUACUGGGCGUAAAGCGUGUGUAGGCGGUUUGACAAGUUGGAUGUGAAAGCUCCUGGCUUAACUGGGAGAGGUCGUUCAAAACUGUCAGACUCGAGAGUGGUAGAGGGAGGUGGAAUUCCGGGUGUAGUGGUGAAAUGCGUAGAUAUCCGGAGGAACACCAGUGGCGAAAGCGGCCUCCUGGCCCAUUUCUGACGCUCAGACACGAAAGCUAAGGUAGCAAACGGGAUUAGAGACCCCGGUAGUCUUAGCUGUAAACGAUGUGAACUUAGUGUCGGUGGGUUUAAAUCCAUCGGUACUGAAGCU